CAAGGAGGUUCCUAAACAUCCUAUAAUGCGCAGGACAGCCACACAUAAGGAAAAUUAUCUGGCUACUUAAAAUUUCAGUAGUGCUGAGACUGCGAACUCCUGUCUAAUCUGAACCAGCUUUGUAAUCGCAGACAAGUCACUUUCUUUAAUAAUGAUGGUCAUGAUCAUGACAACUCACAUUUAUAAGCACUGAUGCCCACCUUGCACUAAAGGCUUCCCAUGGAUCAUUUCUCUUUAACCCUCCUAUCAGGACUAGGAUGGACACCCCAUUAUCACCACACUUUACUGCAGUAUCCUAGGAUACUAUGCAGAGAAAGGUUGUGUGGCCCUGGAUGGCUCAAUGGAAAGAAAGCCAUGACUGAUUAUUGAUGUCUGCUACAGGAACAACCUCAAUAUUUGGCUGAGAAAUGCUUGUAGAGCUGUAUACAUCAAAGAGAAUGAAGGACUGAGCAGCCUACUGCAAGGGUUUUAUUCAAUACAUGGUUCUCCCUGGUUGCAGAGAAACUGCUGAAAGCUCUUAGGUCCUCGCCUACAGAAGUCAGAAAACAUCGAAGUUCGAGAAAAUCACAGCACACCUCCACCCAGAGUUGAAGACAAGAAAAAAACAACUUUGGGGGUUGGACUGAUUUCAUAAAAUAAUCUGAGUGACUGAAGUGGAAAAUAGCAAUGACUAUGAACUUUAGGGAGGCCAAAAAAUAAUUGACUACAUUUUUUUAAGAUUAUGCAAUGUUUAGCAAACUGAGAUCACUGGGGGGGAAAAGAAAGAAAGAAAAGGAAUCACACAAACUUUGCUAAACAAAGUCACAUACCAACAAACAUUUAAACCACUAUAACCAAGAUGAG
This 843-nucleotide long non-coding RNA is filed under the name Heterocephalus glaber (naked mole-rat). RNAcentral describes it as "lncRNA (ENSHGLG00100048221.1)". Lineage: Eukaryota; Metazoa; Chordata; Mammalia; Rodentia; Bathyergidae. The record is from RNAcentral.